This is a long non-coding RNA of Cyprinus carpio (common carp), 1744 nucleotides long. RefSeq lists it as uncharacterized. Lineage: Eukaryota; Metazoa; Chordata; Actinopteri; Cypriniformes; Cyprinidae. The transcript has 4 exons. The record is from RefSeq and is a predicted model, not a curated record.
AGAGUUCAUUUAACUGAAAUAAAAAUUCAUACUCUAAUUUUAAACUAGAACAGUGAAGGCUAUAUGGAUAUGUUUGAAAUACUGCUAAUAGAAAUUUGAAAGUAGUAUAUAUAUAUCAUCAUAGUUUAUAUAUUUUAUGGAAGUUAAUUUAAUCAAUUUCUAGUUUCUAAAUUAUAUGAGAUGAACCUGAUUUUUUUUUAAUCAGUUAAGUACUUAAAAUUUAAGGCAGAUGUGGUACAUGUUUUGUGUGUGUUUUGCCCCUCUUGUGACUCCAUUGCCCUUAUAUGGUCCUUCCUGUUCCUGUCCUUGUUGUGUGAAUUGUUUCCAGCCAUGUUUAUUAUUUUUUUCCCAGGUGUUUCCCAUAGAUGUCCGUGUAUUUAUAGUGUGUUCUGUCUCCAAUUCCUCAUCUGCUGUUAUACGUUAUUCUGUUCUCCCGAUGUCUCCAGUCCCGUAAUCCCCAGCGUGCUAUUAAUAAAACUCUUUUGACUUAUUUACUCCUUGCCUCCUCACUUCUUUGUUCCUGUGUUCCUAGUGAGUUGUGACAGUUUUUAGGACUCUUACCACUUGCUCUCCUGUUAAUCUCACGGUCUCCUGCACAAGCCUGUCAGUCAUAUCCCACUGAGCAUGAACUGAAGAUGUCUGCUCACCAACUGACAACCAUAGUGCAUUCAAGGUCUCUUUACACUGGAUCUGCACUGCAGCAUGCUUGCAUCAUCAAUAGUCAACUUGGUUGGCAGCCAAUUCCAAUGCAAGACAUCCACAUAAGAAGAGCUGGGGUGCCUAAUUUCUGCAGAAAUGUUCUCUGAGUCACCAAAGAUUAUUGUUAACAUGUCCAGUCUAAGAAUUCUGAUGCCAUUUUAUAGAAAAUCAUUCAUUUGAGCCAUGCUUGCUUCAGUAGUAACUGUCUAGACUGAGGUACAUCUCUUCAUAGACUAAACCAACUCAAGAAAUUAGAAAGCCAAUAGAUAAGUUCGAUAAAGUGUAGAAAUCAUGUGUUUAGUAUGGUGGAGAUUAUUUAAUUAUUCUGUGUGUCCAAAGACGAUCUAUUCUGUGUGAUUUAAGACGAUCAGUGAUUAAGUGUUUCUUUUGCACAGUACUAAGAAUAAAGGGCAGAUUCAUUUGAAUGUUAUGAAAUCUAUGAAUUUGCCUUUAUUUGUUGGAACACUUUCAUUUGUAGGUGGAAAUUGUGAGCCAGGUCACUGACAUGAGGAUGACAUUGUCAUACUAUUACUAGUGCUUUACAGUGACAUUAGUAACAAGUUAACAGGCUUGCUGAACUGGAUGAUUAUUGUUUGCCUCAUGUUCCUCUAAUCAUACAUAGCAUUUAUUUCAUGCUCUAAGUCUAACACAAUGACUGUUUUUGAUUUUAAUUUUGAUUAGGGUGACAGUAUAAAAUUGUAACUAAUUUACACUAAACAAAUCUUUAAAAUACUAGUGAUGAACAUGGGCAUUUAAUUAAAUAUUUUGCAUUGAGAUUCAUAAUGAACACAGGGAUGUUUGUGCAGGUAAAUUAAACCAGUUCAUUCACAUGAACUUAUUCAUUAUAAUAAUCUCAGUCAUUGCGCAUUGAGGAAAAAGUACCCAGAACUGUAUAACAUGUCGAUUUCCAGUUCUGCCUAGUACAAAGAUGCAAGUCAGCACUGGAAAAACAAACAUAUGAUUAUUGAACUUAAAAAUGACCAUUAUCCACACCUUCACAAACAGACAGGUUGACAGAUCCAUAUUAACUUGUUUAAAUGGUCUC